GUUGAUAAGGUUAAGUGAAUAAGGGCGCACGGUGGAUGCCUUGGCACUAGGAGCCGAUGAAGGACGGGACUAACACCGAUAUGCUUUGGGGAGCUGUAAGUAAGCUAUGAUCCAGAGAUUUCCGAAUGGGGGAACCCAAUAUCUUUUAUAGGAUAUUACUUUUCAGUGAAUACAUAGCUGAUUAGAGGUAGACGCAGAGAACUGAAACAUCUUAGUACCUGCAGGAAGAGAAAGAAAAUUCGAUUCCCUGAGUAGCGGCGAGCGAAACGGGAAGAGCCCAAACCAACAAGCUUGCUUGUUGGGGUUGUAGGACUCCGAUAUGGUAGUCUGUUAGUAUAGUUGAAGGAUUUGGAAAAUUCCGCUAAAGAGGGUGAAAGCCCCGUAGACGAAAUGCUAACAACACCUAGGAGGAUCCUGAGUACGGCGGAACACGAGAAAUUCCGUCGGAAUCCGCGGGGACCAUCCCGCAAGGCUAAAUACUCCCUAGUGACCGAUAGUGAACCAGUACCGUGAGGGAAAGGUGAAAAGCACCCCGGAAGGGGAGUGAAAUAGAUCCUGAAACCGUGUGCCUACAACAAGUCAAAGCUCGUUAAUGAGUGAUGGCGUGCCUUUUGUAGAAUGAACCGGCGAGUUACGAUUGCAUGCGAGGUUAAGUCGAAGAGACGGAGCCGCAGCGAAAGCGAGUCUGAAUAGGGCGAAUGAGUAUGUAGUCGUAGACCCGAAACCAUGUGAUCUACCCAUGUCCAGGUUGAAGGUGCGGUAAAACGCACUGGAGGACCGAACCCACGUACGUUGAAAAGUGCGGGGAUGAGGUGUGGGUAGCGGAGAAAUUCCAAACGAACUUGGAGAUAGCUGGUUCUCUCCGAAAUAGCUUUAGGGCUAGCCUCGGAAUUGAGAAUGAUGGAGGUAGAGCACUGUUUGGACUAGGGGCCCAUCUCGGGUUACCGAAUUCAGAUAAACUCCGAAUGCCAUUCAUUUAUAUCCGGGAGUCAGACUGCGAGUGAUAAGAUCCGUAGUCGAAAGGGAAACAGCCCAGACCACCAGCUAAGGUCCCAAAAUAUAUGUUAAGUGGAAAAGGAUGUGGGGUUGCACAGACAACUAGGAUGUUGGCUUAGAAGCAGCCACCAUUUAAAGAGUGCGUAAUAGCUCACUAGUCGAGUGACCCUGCGCCGAAAAUGUACCGGGGCUAAACAUAUUACCGAAGCUGUGGACUACACCAUUAGGUGUAGUGGUAGGAGAGCGUUCUAAGGGCGUUGAAGGUCGAUCGUGAGGACGGCUGGAGCGCUUAGAAGUGAGAAUGCCGGUAUGAGUAGCGAAAGACAGGUGAGAAUCCUGUCCACCGUAUGACUAAGGUUUCCUGGGGAAGGCUCGUCCGCCCAGGGUUAGUCGGGACCUAAGCCGAGGCCGAUAGGCGUAGGCGAUGGACAACAGGUUGAUAUUCCUGUACCAGUUGUUUUUGUUUGAGCAAUGGAGGGACGCAGUAGGCUAAGGAAUGCAUGCGAUUGGAAGUGCAUGUCCAAGCAAUGAGUCUUGAGUAGAGUUAAAUGCUUUACUCUUUAAGGACAAGUUGUGACGGGGAGCGAAAUAAUAGUAGCGAAGUUCCUGAUGUCACACUGCCAAGAAAAGCUUCUAGUGAGAAAACAACUGCCCGUACCGUAAACCGACACAGGUAGUCGAGGAGAGUAUCCUAAGGUGAGCGAGCGAACUCUCGUUAAGGAACUCGGCAAAAUGACCCCGUAACUUCGGGAGAAGGGGUGCUGACUUCGGUCAGCCGCAGUGAAUAGGCCCAAGCGACUGUUUAUCAAAAACACAGGUCUCUGCAAAAUCGUAAGAUGAAGUAUAGGGGCUGACGCCUGCCCGGUGCUGGAAGGUUAAGAGGAUGGGUUAGCUUCGGCGAAGCUCAGAAUUGAAGCCCCAGUAAACGGCGGCCGUAACUAUAACGGUCCUAAGGUAGCGAAAUUCCUUGUCGGGUAAGUUCCGACCCGCACGAAAGGCGUAACGAUUUGGGCACUGUCUCAACGAGAGACUCGGUGAAAUUUUAGUACCUGUGAAGAUGCAGGUUACCCGCGACAGGACGGAAAGACCCCAUGGAGCUUUACUGUAGUUUGAUAUUGAGUGUUUGUACCACAUGUACAGGAUAGGUAGGAGCCGAUGAGACCGGAACGCUAGUUUCGGAGGAGGCGCUGGUGGGAUACUACCCUUGUGUUAUGAACCCUCUAACCCGCACCACUAAUCGUGGUGGGAGACAGUGUCAGAUGGGCAGUUUGACUGGGGCGGUCGCCUCCUAAAAGGUAACGGAGGCGCCCAAAGGUUCCCUCAGAAUGGUUGGAAAUCAUUCGAAGAGUGUAAAGGCAGAAGGGAGCUUGACUGCGAGACCUACAA
This 2382-nucleotide ribosomal RNA is filed under the name Listeria monocytogenes. Its description in RNAcentral is "partial 23S ribosomal RNA". It matches the Rfam family "Bacterial large subunit ribosomal RNA", at positions 1 to 2387 of the family's 2925-position model. The record is from RNAcentral. Lineage: Bacteria; Bacillati; Bacillota; Bacilli; Caryophanales; Listeriaceae.